AUGUUAAUUGUAGCUUUACAAAGGGAUCCCAGAAGCUGCAACAAGUCCAUGGAUGGCUUGGUGCUCUGUCAGGCUCCUUGGCUCUCCAUCACCUUCCCAGAGAGCUCCCUCACCAAUAUACAAGCAUGGCAAAUAUUGGUGUUGCAGCCACAGGCAGAAGAAACCUUACAGCACUUCACAAACCCAGUGGGGCUGUCCAACAGCAGCACAGCAUGCAGCCAACAGAGCCACGGCCACGUGCUCAGCUGCACCAGCACAGCUGGGCUUCUGGGCACCAUGGGACAGCAGCACCCCUGCUUCACCUGCACAGGAAUCCCAGCUCCACCAUGCAGCAGGAUCCACCUGUACUGUGCUUUGUAUGUUGUUACUGACCACACAAAUUAGAUCCAAUUUCAUGUGCUCCAUCUGAAACAUUUAUUAUUAUUAUUUGUAACUGAGCAGAUAAUGCUUAAAAACAUUUGUUUCUCUGUGUGGACAACCCUGCUCCAAGAAGUUGCUGCAGGAGCAAAUACAGGAGCAUGAUAAGCAAAAUCUCUCUCUUUAAAUACAUUUUAAUUCUCAAAAAAGAGAUGCAGUAGCCCAGAGUCUUUGCUCUUUCAGUUGGAAUCUUUCUCUUAUGUGAAAGGUAAGAAACCAUGCUGCCCAUACAAUAAUACAAGUGUUACAGAACAAGCCAUGGUUAUUCAGCGGUGGGAAGCUUUGGUUUUGCUUUAAAUGAAGCAUGCUGUAAGAAGCAUGCACUCCUGUUUCCAAUUAAGCUCCUUGUUAGGUCAUGGAGCCCAGAACUCACAGCACACCGCAGGGGAGGCUGCACCAACACCUCUGCAGAGUGGCUGGUCAUGCCAUGCUUAAUGCCUUCUAACACGCAUGCUGCCCUCUUGGUCUUUCAGCCAAUGCUACCUGAGUGCUGCACAGAAAAAUCUCACUGCCCACACUGUGAAACAGCCAGGUACACUAACCUUAAUUUCUUGCUCUAUUUUAGGCCUCACAGUAUUACAUGGUAUUACUCUUGCUUCCCUUAAAAUAGUCUGUGAUACAUUAAGUGUUCUGCUAGAGCCUGCUGCUUUGUUCACACGAGGAGAAUUUGGGUGACUGCUUUUUACUAAUGAGGGAGGAGCAAAAACCCCUUCAGAUACCUUGUGGCUGUGUGUUAACAAACUCAGGCCCACUGAAAAUGCACAUCCAGCGUCCAGGUGGUACGUAGUCAGAACAUGGAGAAAACCACUCAAGAUCUAGCAAAAAUUCAACAGGGCCAACCACUUGGGUUCCCAAGGCAAAGGAGCCCAGGGGGAGGCUCCACUCCCAUCCCAUGCCCUCCCCUGUUCAUACAGCAGCGCUAACAGCACACACAGAUGGUCUUCAAUAAAGACAAAUACAUAAGUUAAUGCA
RNAcentral lists this long non-coding RNA (1389 nucleotides) under Chrysolophus pictus (golden pheasant). Its description in RNAcentral is "lncRNA (ENSCPIG00010010633.1)". The record is from RNAcentral. Lineage: Eukaryota; Metazoa; Chordata; Aves; Galliformes; Phasianidae.